Molecule: unclassified non-coding RNA, 289 nt
Filed under: Hevea brasiliensis (rubber tree)
Lineage: Eukaryota; Viridiplantae; Streptophyta; Magnoliopsida; Malpighiales; Euphorbiaceae
Source: RNAcentral
UGGGGCUAAGAGAUCAAGCUUAAAUUGAAGUGAUUGAAGCAGAUUCAUCCCAUCUUGAGCAAGACCAUUCAAUCUUGGAAGUGAACUUUUCUCUUCUGAAAUUAAUCUUGUUGUUCCUGAUUUUCCAUAUUCAUGAAUAGAUUUGAUGUGUUCUUGAGUCUGUUUGUAUGUUUCUUCCAACUCUUUCUUCACAUUUUCUACUUCUUCCACCACUUGAUCCAUUUGGGGUUCCUUCAAUGGUGAGAUUUUGCAGAGAAGAAAAGGUUUUUGGGAAAUUCGUGGGAAGAAG